Molecule: ribosomal RNA, 266 nt
Filed under: uncultured bacterium
Lineage: Bacteria
Description: partial 16S ribosomal RNA
Rfam family: Bacterial small subunit ribosomal RNA
Source: RNAcentral
GUCCACGCCCUAAACGAUGAUGACUAGUUGUUGGGGGAGUUAAAUCCCUUAGUAACGCAGCUAACGCGAGAAGUCAUCCGCCUGGGGAGUACGGUCGCAAGAUUAAAACUCAAAGGAAUUGACGGGGGCCCGCACAAGCGGUGGAUGAUGUGGUUUAAUUCGAUGCAACGCGAAAAACCUUACCUACCCUUGACAUGUACGGAAGCCUGCAGAAAUGCAGGGGUGCCCGAAAGGGAGCCGUAACACAGGUGCUGCAUGGCUGUCGU